RNAcentral lists this ribosomal RNA (835 nucleotides) under uncultured marine microorganism. RNAcentral describes it as "bacterial SSU rRNA". It matches the Rfam family "Bacterial small subunit ribosomal RNA", at positions 669 to 1501 of the family's 1533-position model. The record is from RNAcentral.
CCCAGUGUAGCGGUGAAAUGCGUAGAUAUUGGGAAGAACAUCGGUGGCGAAGGCGUGCUACUGGACCGUAACUGACACUCAGGGACGAAAGCUAGGGGAGCGAAAGGGAUUAGAUACCCCUGUAGUCCUAGCUGUAAACGAUGGAAACUAGGUGUGGCUUGUAUCGACCCGAGCCGUGCCGUAGCUAACGCGUUAAGUUUCCCGCCUGGGGAGUACGCACGCAAGUGUGAAACUCAAAGGAAUUGACGGGGGCCCGCACAAGCGGUGGAGUAUGUGGUUUAAUUCGAUGCAACGCGAAGAACCUUACCAGGGCUUGACAUGUCGCGAAUCUCGGUGAAAGCUGAGAGUGCCUUCGGGAGCGCGAACACAGGUGGUGCAUGGCUGUCGUCAGCUCGUGUCGUGAGAUGUUGGGUUAAGUCCCGCAACGAGCGCAACCCUUAUUUUUAGUUGCCAGCAUUAAGAUGGGCACUCUAGAAAGACUGCCGGUGACAAACCGGAGGAAGGUGAGGACGACGUCAAGUCAGCAUGCCCCUUACGCCCUGGGCUACACACGUACUACAAUGGUUGGGACAAAGGGCAGCGACUCCGCAAGGAAUAGCGAAUCUCAUCAAACCCAGCCUCAGUUCAGAUUGCAGGCUGCAACUCGCCUGCAUGAAGGAGGAAUCGCUAGUAAUCGCAGGUCAGCAUACUGCGGUGAAUUCGUUCCCGGGCCUUGUACACACCGCCCGUCACACCAUGGAAGCUGGUCACGCCCGAAGUAGUUACCCUAACCUUUCGAGGAGGGGGAUUCCUAAGGCAGGGCUAGUGACUGGGGUGAAGUCGUAACAAGGUAGCC